AAUCAGAAAGGAUGCUCAAUGGGACUUUGUCACGCCGAGAUAUCAGCAGCAAUCGGCAACGACAAAGCUCAAUUAUCUAUUGCAUAUUCAGAAGAAAGCAUCUGCUGUCGACAAUCAAGGCACUAUGACAGGUAGCUCAAGCCUAAGAUGCAAACAUCUCUAGGAAUGGAGUUGCUGACGGUAUGCAAAGAAUGAGACAAUGGUGAUGGUCAGGAUCGAUGUGUCAAGCAUCUGAGACAUAUCGACGUCAAGACAUGGAAGAGGGCUCUCUGCCCUUAUAGAUAGGCCUUCUUACCAUGCUACAUUACUAACCUGCACAAUUAAUGUGUAUCGAAAUUAACUUUGGAAGAACAUUAAGCAUGCAAACAUAGCUGUGGAGAAUCCUUGGAACAUCUUACCUGCAAUGUUAACUUAAACCUUCUGGAUCAGCAAAUGCUUCAUCCUUCUCUUCAAAUGUAAAUUCUACUGCCCAGAACAAACCAGUUUAAGAGUUACGGGAA
This is a long non-coding RNA of Triticum dicoccoides, 500 nucleotides long. RefSeq lists it as uncharacterized. The record is from RefSeq and is a predicted model, not a curated record. The transcript is spliced from 2 exons. NCBI's taxonomy places the organism in Eukaryota, Viridiplantae, Streptophyta, Magnoliopsida, Poales, Poaceae.